Molecule: small RNA, 563 nt
Filed under: Pan troglodytes (chimpanzee)
Lineage: Eukaryota; Metazoa; Chordata; Mammalia; Primates; Hominidae
Description: retained intron
Source: RNAcentral
GUUUGUGGUUCUUAGCUCUGAGAAGGUGAGGGCAGGGGCAAUAAGGUUACUAUGCCCCUAGAAUGAUGCCAUCAAUCCUGAGGACUUCCCAGAACCUGUCUACAAGAGUUUCCUCAUGAGCCUCUGUCCUCGGCCAGAAAUAAAUGAGAUCUUCACUUCUUACCAUGCUAAGGCCAAACCCUACAUGACGAAGGAGCACCUGACCAAAUUCAUCAACCAGAAACAGCGGGACUCCCGGCUUAACUCCCUGCUGUUCCCGCCAGCACGGCCUGACCAGGUGCAGGGCCUCAUCGACAAGUAUGAGCCCAGUGGCAUCAAUGCACAGAGGGGCCAGCUGUCACCUGAAGGCAUGGUCUGGUUUCUCUGUGGGCCAGAGAACAGCGUGCUGGCCCAGGACAAGCUGCUGCUCCACCACGACAUGACGCAGCCACUCAAUCAUUACUUCAUCAACUCGUCCCACAACACCUACCUGACAGCCGGCCAGUUCUCAGGCCUCUCCUCGGCUGAGAUGUACCGCCAGGUGCUGCUCUCUGGCUGCCGUUGCGUGGAGCUAGACUGCUGGA